RNAcentral lists this ribosomal RNA (440 nucleotides) under uncultured bacterium. RNAcentral's name for it is "partial 16S ribosomal RNA". It matches the Rfam family "Bacterial small subunit ribosomal RNA", at positions 338 to 795 of the family's 1533-position model. The record is from RNAcentral.
CCUACGGGAGGCAUCAGUGGGGAAUAUUGCACAAUGGGGGAAACCCUGAUGCAGCGACGCCGCGUGAGUGAAGAAGUAUCUCGGUACGUAAAGCUCUAUCAGCAGGGAAGAAAAUGACGGUACCUGACUAAGAAGCCCCGGCUAACUACGUGCCAGCAGCCGCGGUAAUACGUAGGGGGAAAGCGUUACCCGGUUUAACUGGGUGUAACGGGAGCGUGGACGGCAGCACAGGUCUGGAGUGAAAUCCCGGGGUUUAACCCCGGAACUGCUUUGGAAACUGUGCGGCGGGAGUGCAGGAGGGGUAAGCGGAAUUCCGAGUGUAGCGGUGAAAUGCGUAGAUAUUAGGAGGAACACCGGUGGCGAAGGCGGCUUACUGGACUGUAACUGACGUUGAGGCUCGAAAGCGUGGGGAGCAAACAGGAUUAGAUAUCCGAGUAGUC